GGUGAGAUGUCCGAGAGGUUUAAGGAGCAAGCCUGGAAAGUUUGUAUACGAUUUUUCGUAUCGAGGGUUCGAAUCCCUCUCUCACCG
Molecule: transfer RNA, 87 nt
Filed under: Wigglesworthia glossinidia endosymbiont of Glossina brevipalpis
Lineage: Bacteria; Pseudomonadati; Pseudomonadota; Gammaproteobacteria; Enterobacterales; Erwiniaceae
Description: tRNA-Ser (GGA) (tRNA-Ser-GGA-1-1)
Rfam family: tRNA
About the family: Transfer RNA (tRNA) molecules are approximately 80 nucleotides in length. Their secondary structure includes four short double-helical elements and three loops (D, anti-codon, and T loops).
Source: Rfam by way of RNAcentral